AUUCAGCGGCGGACGGGUGAGUAAUGCCUAGGAAUCUGCCUAGUAGUGGGGGACAACGUUUCGAAAGGAACGCUAAUACCGCAUACGUCCUACGGGAGAAAGUGGGGGAUCUUCGGACCUCACGCUAUUAGAUGAGCCUAGGUCGGAUUAGCUAGUUGGUAGGGUAAAGGCCUACCAAGGCGACGAUCCGUAACUGGUCUGAGAGGAUGAUCAGUCACACUGGAACUGAGACACGGUCCAGACUCCUACGGGAGGCAGCAGUGGGGAAUAUUGGACAAUGGGCGAAAGCCUGAUCCAGCCAUGCCGCGUGUGUGAAGAAGGCCCUCGGGUCGUAAAGCACUUUAAGUUGGGAGGAAGGGCUUACAGCGAAUACCUGUGAGUUUUGACGUUACCGACAGAAUAAGCACCGGCUAACUUCGUGCCAGCAGCCGCGGUAAUACGAAGGGUGCAAGCGUUAAUCGGAAUUACUGGGCGUAAAGCGCGCGUAGGUGGCUUGAUAAGUUGGAUGUGAAAUCCCCGGGCUCAACCUGGGAACUGCAUCCAAAACUGUCUGGCUAGAGUGUGGUAGAGGGUAGUGGAAUUUCCAGUGUAGCGGUGAAAUGCGUAGAUAUUGGAAGGAACACCAGUGGCGAAGGCGACUACCUGGACUAACACUGACACUGAGGUGCGAAAGCGUGGGGAGCAAACAGGAUUAGAUACC
RNAcentral lists this ribosomal RNA (700 nucleotides) under Pseudomonas sp. RNAcentral's name for it is "bacterial SSU rRNA". It matches the Rfam family "Bacterial small subunit ribosomal RNA", at positions 90 to 786 of the family's 1533-position model. Lineage: Bacteria; Pseudomonadati; Pseudomonadota; Gammaproteobacteria; Pseudomonadales; Pseudomonadaceae. The record is from RNAcentral.